RNAcentral lists this transfer RNA (70 nucleotides) under Urocitellus parryii (Arctic ground squirrel). RNAcentral describes it as "Spermophilus parryii (Arctic ground squirrel) tRNA". It matches the Rfam family "tRNA". Rfam says of the family: Transfer RNA (tRNA) molecules are approximately 80 nucleotides in length. Their secondary structure includes four short double-helical elements and three loops (D, anti-codon, and T loops). Lineage: Eukaryota; Metazoa; Chordata; Mammalia; Rodentia; Sciuridae. RNAcentral also lists the same sequence under 1 other name. The record is from Rfam by way of RNAcentral.
GGUGAUACAGUUCAGUUGGUAGAGUACCUGCCUUGAAUGCAUAAGGUCCUGGGUUCAAUCCCCAGCACCA